AUUGAACGCUGGCGGCAGGCCUAACACAUGCAAGUCGAGCGGAUAAAGGGAGCUUGCUCCUGGAUUCAGCGGCGGACGGGUGAGUAAUGCCUAGGAAUCUGCCUGGUAGUGGGGGAUAACGUUUCGAAAGGGACGCUAAUACCGCAUACGUCCUACGGGAGAAAGCAGGGGACCUUCGGGCCUUGCGCUAUCAGAUGAGCCUAGGUCGGAUUAGCUAGUAGGUGGGGUAAUGGCUCACCUAGGCGACGAUCCGUAACUGGUCUGAGAGGAUGGUCAGUCACACUGGAACUUAGACACGGUCCAGAAUCCUACGGGAGGUAGCAGUGGGGAAUAUUGGACAAUGGGCGAAAGCCUGAUCCAGCCAUGCCGCGUGUGUGAGGAAGGUCUUCGGAUUGUAAAGCACUUUAAGUUGGGAGGAAGGGCAGUAAGUUAAUACCUUGCUGUUUUGACGUUACCGACAGAAUAAGCACCGGCUAACUUCGUGCCAGCCGCCGCAGUAA
Molecule: ribosomal RNA, 500 nt
Filed under: uncultured bacterium
Lineage: Bacteria
Description: partial 16S ribosomal RNA
Rfam family: Bacterial small subunit ribosomal RNA
Source: RNAcentral